Molecule: ribosomal RNA, 503 nt
Filed under: uncultured bacterium
Lineage: Bacteria
Description: partial 16S ribosomal RNA
Rfam family: Bacterial small subunit ribosomal RNA
Source: RNAcentral
UUUGGACGCUGGCGGCAGGCUUAACACAUGCAAGUCGAGCGGGGUGAUGGUGCUUGCACUAUCACUUAGCGGCGGACGGGUGAGAAAUGCUUAGGAAUCUGCCUAUUAGUGGGGGACAACAUCUCGAAAGGGAUGCUAAUACCGCAUACGUCCUACGGGAGAAAGCAGGGGAUCACUUGUGACCUUGCGCUAAUAGAUGAGCCUAAGUCGGAUUAGCUAGUCGGUGGGGUAAAGGCCUACCAAGGCGACGAUCUGUAGCGGGUCUGAGAGGAUGAUCCGCCACACUGGGACUGAGACACGGCCCAGACUCCUACGGGAGGCAGCAGUGGGGAAUAUUGGACAAUGGGGGGAACCCUGAUCCAGCCAUGCCGCGUGUGUGAAGAAGGCCUUAUGGUCGUAAAGCACUUUAAGCGAGGAGGAGGCUCUUUUGGUUAAUACCCAAGAUGAGUGGACGUUACUCGCAGAAUAAGCACCGGCUAACUCUGUGCCAGCCGCCGCAGUAA